RNAcentral lists this ribosomal RNA (253 nucleotides) under uncultured bacterium. RNAcentral describes it as "partial 16S ribosomal RNA". It matches the Rfam family "Bacterial small subunit ribosomal RNA", at positions 524 to 776 of the family's 1533-position model. The record is from RNAcentral.
UACGAAGGGGGCUAGCGUUGUUCGGAAUUACUGGGCGUAAAGCGUAUGCAGGCGGACUUUUAAGUCGGGGGUGAAAUCCCGAGGCUCAACCUCGGAACUGCCUUCGAUACUGGAAGUCUUGAGUCCGGGAGAGGUGAGUGGAACUCCGAGUGUAGAGGUGAAAUUCGUAGAUAUUCGGAAGAACACCAGUGGCGAAGGCGGCUCACUGGCCCGGUACUGACGCUGAGAUACGAAAGCGUGGGGAGCGAACAGG